Small nucleolar RNA from Nilaparvata lugens (brown planthopper), 135 nucleotides. The record is from RefSeq and is a predicted model, not a curated record. Lineage: Eukaryota; Metazoa; Arthropoda; Insecta; Hemiptera; Delphacidae.
UACCAAAGAGUUGAGUAUGGGUCUACAGUUCGUUGUAGAUUCAAUAAUUAAUCUUUGGAAGAUAAAAUGCUUGUACUUUCUCUUGAAGUGAAGUCCAGUUCAACUUCAGUUUAAAUCAUUUACUAGCAUACAAUA